CCUACGGGACGCAGCAGUGAGGAAUAUUGGUCAAUGGCCGCAGGGCUGAACCAGCCAAGUCGCGUGAGGGAUGACGGUCCUAUGGAUUGUAAACCUCUUUUGUCAGGGAGCAAAGGGCGCCACGUGUGGCGUUUUGCGGGUAUCCGAAGAAAAAGCAUCGGCUAACUCCGUGCCAGCAGCCGCGGUAAUACGGAGGAUGCGAGCGUUAUCCGGAUUUAUUGGGUUUAAAGGGUGCGUAGGCGGUCCGUUAAGUCAGCGGUAAAAUUGCGGGGCUCAACCCCGUCGAGCCGUUGAAACUGGCAGAC
Molecule: ribosomal RNA, 305 nt
Filed under: uncultured bacterium
Lineage: Bacteria
Description: bacterial SSU rRNA
Rfam family: Bacterial small subunit ribosomal RNA
Source: RNAcentral